Molecule: ribosomal RNA, 423 nt
Filed under: uncultured bacterium
Lineage: Bacteria
Description: partial 16S ribosomal RNA
Rfam family: Bacterial small subunit ribosomal RNA
Source: RNAcentral
GUGGGGAAUAUUGGACAAUGGGCGCAAGCCUGAUCCAGCCAUGCCGCGUGAGUGAUGAAGGCCUUAGGGUUGUAAAGCUCUUUCAGUAGGGAAGAUAAUGACGGUACCUACAGAAGAAGCCCCGGCUAACUUCGUGCCAGCAGCCGCGGUAAUACGAAGGGGGCUAGCGUUGUUCGGAUUUACUGGGCGUAAAGCGCACGUAGGCGGAUUGGUCAGUUAGAGGUGAAAUCCCGAAGCUCAACUUCGGAACUGCCUUUAAUACUGCCAGUCUCGAGUCCGGAAGAGGUGAGUGGAACUCCUAGUGUAGAGGUGGAAUUCGUAGAUAUUAGGAAGAACACCAGUGGCGAAGGCGGCUCACUGGUCUGGUACUGACGCUGAGGUGCGAAAGCGUGGGGAGCAAACAGGAUUAGAUACCCGAGUAGU